RNAcentral lists this long non-coding RNA (2575 nucleotides) under Manihot esculenta (cassava). RNAcentral's name for it is "long non-coding RNA (MESC_LNC008466)". Lineage: Eukaryota; Viridiplantae; Streptophyta; Magnoliopsida; Malpighiales; Euphorbiaceae. The record is from RNAcentral.
AAUUUCAAUCGCUGGUUCCAAUCGGAAACUGGCUUCAUUCAAUUAUUUUUAAAAAAUAUAUUUAUAUUAGUUGAUUUUAUUCCUUUUAUCUUUUUUUAUUUAGAAAUUAAAUAAAUUAUGUAUUAUGAAUCUAGAUCUUAUAAAUUUGUAUAUUCUUGUAUAAAAUACUUGUACUAUUGUAGUUUUAAAAAAUCUCGAAUGGGAGUUGAAUCAGAAUUACAGCCGAAACCGCUUUGAAUUGUCGAACCAGAAUUGAUUUGAACCAUGAAGCAUGAAGACCCGUGGUUCCGGCCUGAAAUGGAUCGGAAAUAGCCCAUUGCCAAGUCUAGCUGCAGGCCCUUCCCCAUUUUUGACCCCAAAGUAAAAGAAAAAGGGGGAAUGCUCACAUAUAAUAGAAGUUAACUAAAUUCUCAUAGAACAUGUUAAGGCUGUCAAUCAUGUGAUGAAAAUUUUCACAACUAGAGUUUGCUUUUAGAGUGCUACUUCUCUUGAGUUUCAUCUCUAGUAAAAUUGUUAGCAGAAGUUUUGAGCCUAAAGCUCAUAUUUAAAUCUUGUGUAUUUCUUAUUAUAAGUGUUAACACCUCUUCAUAGCUUGUAGUUCAGUGAGGAAUGUUUUGUUCCAUAAGAUGGCUUAUGUUUCAUUUUUAUUUUGUAAUUAACAAAUGUUUUGAGAUGUUUACUAUGUUGAGAUAUUUUGGGUGCAAUGUUGUAUAGUUGUAUAUGUGUUAGGACCUAUCAUCAUCACCACCACCAUCAUCCUCAUCAUCAUCCUCAUCAUCAUCAUAUGUGUCUGUGUGUGUGAAUCAUGACACAUGCCUUAUUGAGUAAAAAAGAAAUCCUAGGUGAAUGAACUUGUCUUUUGCGAUUUCUAUUGAAAUCCUAGGUGCGUAAGAAAACUCAAAGUGGGCAAAGGAUACAUAUGGUUGUGAAUGACAUUAAAAAGAGUAAAAGCACUAUUGGCACAAAAUAUGGGUUACCUUCUAGUAAAAUUUUACCAAAACUAUCGGAAAGGAAGGGGAAGGCCUUUGAAAGAGAGGAAGUUGGUGCUAGAGGCAAUAAAUUGGGUGGCAGACUUGUAAGGAAUCAUGCCCAAAUUGAUAAAAACACUUACAAUGAAAUUGUGCAAAAAAAAAGAUUUUCAAGUGGAAGCAAUCAGGCUUUCCUUGAUGAUAGUGAUGAUGAUUUGGAAAUUGAAAGAGCUGCCUUCAAAAGUUUUGAGGAACAUAAGGAUGUUAGUAUCAGGCCACGAGCUUCAAGGAUGGAGAUGGAGGAGAGAAUCCAAAAGCUUGCAAAGUGGUAAUCAAUCUUCCUUAUCUUUAUCCUUAUAGUUUAGCUGUCUUGGAUACUUGCUUAUUUCAUUAUAAAUAUUCAUUUAUGCUUGCAUAUAGAUUUGUAGGUGGAUAAACCUGUUAUGCAUCUAUUAUUGUUUGUAAUUUAUCAGUCAUUGUAUGGGAGAGCAAAAGAGGAUGCCUUGGUGUAAUAUUGAAUCACUCCAUGUGUAACCUAGAGGUCAUAGUUUCGAACUACAGAAAUAGCCUUUUUGUAAAGAAGGGAUUACUACAUAUAUCAACCCUCCUUAGAGCCCACAGUGGUGUGAUAGCCUUAGCCCUAUAAGUCUUGCAUGACAUUCCUUGGCAUUAGAAUUAUGAGGCUAUCAAGUGUUUAUUGUGGGGUAGGGUGCCAGGCAGACUUAGCCACAGUCUGUUUCAAACUGCUAAAUUUGGAUCAGGCCUAACUCACGCUAAAACUAGCUCAAGGUAGGAUUGUUGAUGGCCAUAUAAGGGUAGAUUAUCCUCCUUCCAAACUGACGUGUGAUUCAAACCGAUGUGAGAUUCAAUACACCUCACUCGCGUCCAGAACCAUGGAGUAUGACACAUUCACGAAAGGUUCAACAUCGGUGAGAGACUUUGAUAGCAUAUUAAAUAUGGACCAAACCUAACUCACCUCAGAACCUAGCCUCUUUAGCCCAUAUAAGGGAUACAUUAAACUAAUGUGGGAUUCAAUACGCACCUCACAUCCAGGACCACACUGAAGUGUGAUACAUUCAUGGGAGGCCCAACAUUAGGGAAGGCUACAUAUUAAAUUUGGGUCAGACUCUUUUAUAUCAAGGGAGGAUUGUCCAUGGCCCAUUAAGGGGCACAUUACCCUUUCCCAAACCGACAUGGGAUUCAACACAAACUAUGAAGCGGAUCAGAGUCAAAUGAUUCUAGUUCAUGAAUGGGACAGGAACUGCUUUAAGGAGCCAAUUAGGAGUCUCCCCUCCUUGAACUGGGAUUAGAAUUGCGCCCGGAGUAGGCUAAUUUCAAUCGCUGGUUCCAAUCCGAAACUGGCUUCUUUCAAUUAUUUUAAAAAAAUAUAUUUAUAUUAGUUGAUUUUGUUACUUUUAUCUUUUUUUAUUUAGAAAUUAAAUAAAUGAUGUAUUAUGAAUCUAGAUCUUAUAAAUUUAUAUAUUCUUGUAUAAAAUACUUGUACUAUUGUAGUUUUAAAAAAUCUCGAAUGGGAGUUGAAUCAGAAUUACAGCCGAAACCGCCUUGAAUUGUCGAACCAGAACUGAUUUGGACCAUGAAGCAUGAAG